RNAcentral lists this ribosomal RNA (244 nucleotides) under uncultured Pseudomonas sp. Its description in RNAcentral is "partial 16S ribosomal RNA". It matches the Rfam family "Bacterial small subunit ribosomal RNA", at positions 109 to 354 of the family's 1533-position model. The record is from RNAcentral. Lineage: Bacteria; Pseudomonadati; Pseudomonadota; Gammaproteobacteria; Pseudomonadales; Pseudomonadaceae.
AGUAAUGCCUAGGAAUCUGCCUGGUAGUGGGGGGACGAACGUUUCGAAAGGAACGCUAAUACCGCAUACGUCCUACGGGAGAAGCNGGGACCUUCGGGCCUUGCGCUAUCAGAUGAGCCUAGGUCGGAUUAGCUAGUUGGUGAGGUAAUGGCUCACCAAGGCGACGAUCCGUAACUGGUCUGAGAGGAUGAUCAGUCACACUGGAACUGAGACACGGUCCAGACUCCUACGGGAGGCAGCAGGA